GCCGCUGCCGCCGCUGCUGCUGCUGCUGCUGCUGCUGCUGCUGGCCCCCACUGCGAGAGCUCGAAGCGGGGAGUCGAGUCCCCGGCGGUUUUGACAGGCAGUCCGGUGCCGCGCGCGACACUGUCGACACUCGGCCGCUCGCUCGCUCGCUCGGCCGCUCGCUCCGUGUUAUCGCCUCGCCGUGGUGUCAGUGAUGAGGGUGCCCGUGGGCUCCCAGUGUCCUCGCAGCCAGCAUUGAAUUUCGCACGCUCGCCCACGCACCAGAUGGCGAUAAUGGACACCUACAACGCCACGUACUCUAUCGACCAGGAGUCCAGGUUCUCCAGGCCGCUCAGGAAUUUCGCGGCGACCGUCUCCAUACUCAUCAUGAUCACCGGUCUCCUGGGCAAUCUGCUCACCAUCAUCGCUCUCCUGAAGUACCCCAAAGUUCGCAAUGUCGCCGCCGCUUUCAUCAUAAGUCUGUGCGCGGCCGACUUCAUUUUUUGCCUGCUGGUGCUGCCCUUCGACUCGAUAAGAUUUAUCGACGCGAGCUGGGCGAACGUGCGCUUUCUGUGCGUGCUCGUGCCUUUCCUCAGAUAUGGAAACGUCGGAGUGAGUUUGCUCUCCGUCGGCGUCAUAACGAUAAACAGGUACAUCAUGAUCGCCCACCAUGGACUCUACGGCCGGGUCUACAAGAAGCAGUGGAUCGCGCUGAUGAUAUUUUUCUGCUGGGCGUUCUCCUACGGAAUGCAGAUACCCGCGUUGGUCGGCUCUUGGGGUAGUUUCGCCUAUGACUCAAACCUGGAAACCUGUUCGAUCGUGCGAGAUGCGAACGGCCGCUCGCCCAAAACUUUCCUGUUUAUCAUGGGCUUCGUCAUCCCGUGCAUCGUCAUCGUCGCCUGCUACAGCAAAAUCUUCUGGGUCGUACACAAAUCCGAGUCGAGAAUGCGGAAGCACACCGCGCCACCGGCGAUCAAGUCGCCCCACAGCCCCGGACGCGACACCCGCGAGAUCAAGCAGAGGCGCAGCGAGUGGAGGAUCACCAAGAUGGUGCUUGCCAUUUUCCUGGGCUUCGUCGCUUGCUAUCUGCCCAUCACCAUCGUCAAGGUCGCCGACGCGGAAGUCCGCUUUCCCGCGUUCCACGUCUUGGGCUACCUCUUGCUGUACUUCGCCUCGUGCGUCAAUCCAAUAAUCUACGUGAUAAUGAAUAAGCAGUACAGACAGGCGUACGCAGGGGUGAUAAGCUGCUCGAGGAUAAGGGCGACGCUUACGCCACACGGCAGCAGUGCCCCGGGCCAGCAGCACAACUUCGGCCAUCAAGGAUUGGCCGAACCCAGCUAAACGUUGCACACACACACACACAAUACGAUUUUCUACGUACUAACGCAGUUACCGAGAGAUUAUUCCAAAGACUACAGCAAGACGAUGGUCUCGACCGUAUCGAUCGCCAUGAACUCUGUGAGAGAUACUCAUCGAGAUGACGAGCUGUGAACGGAGGUGAACAAGAGCCAUAACGCAAGAAAAAGAGAGAACAAUG
Molecule: RNA transcript, 1516 nt
Organism: Phymastichus coffea
Lineage: Eukaryota; Metazoa; Arthropoda; Insecta; Hymenoptera; Eulophidae
Gene: moody
Gene name: G-protein coupled receptor moody
Exons: 10
Source: RefSeq, a predicted model, not a curated record